Molecule: ribosomal RNA, 253 nt
Filed under: uncultured bacterium
Lineage: Bacteria
Description: partial 16S ribosomal RNA
Rfam family: Bacterial small subunit ribosomal RNA
Source: RNAcentral
UACGUAGGGUGCAGGCGUUAAUCGGAAUUACUGGGCGUAAAGGGUGCGCAGGCGGUUUGUUAAGACAGGUGUGAAAUCCCCGGGCUUAACCUGGGAAUUGCGCUUGUAACUGGCAGGCUAGAGUGUGGCAGAGGGGGGUGGAAUUCCACGUGUAGCAGUGAAAUGCGUAGAUAUGUGGAGGAACACCGAUGGCGAAGGCAGCCCCCUGGGUUAACACUGACGCUCAUGCACGAAAGCGUGGGGAGCAAACAGG